Molecule: ribosomal RNA, 392 nt
Filed under: uncultured bacterium
Lineage: Bacteria
Description: partial 16S ribosomal RNA
Rfam family: Bacterial small subunit ribosomal RNA
Source: RNAcentral
AUACGUAGGUGGCAAGCGUUAUCCGGAAUUAUUGGGCGUAAAGAGGGAGCAGGCGGCAGCAAGGGUCUGUGGUGAAAGCCUGAAGCUUAACUUCAGUAAGCCAUAGAAACCAGGCAGCUAGAGUGCAGGAGAGGAUCGUGGAAUUCCAUGUGUAGCGGUGAAAUGCGUAGAUAUAUGGAGGAACACCAGUGGCGAAGGCGACGAUCUGGCAUGCAACUGACGCUCAGUCCCGAAAGCGUGGGGAGCAAAUAGGAUUAGAUACCCUAGUAGUCCACGCCGUAAACGAUGAGUACUAAGUGUUGGAUGUCAAAGUUCAGUGCUGCAGUUAACGCAAUAAGUACUCCGCCUGAGUAGUACGUUCGCAAGAAUGAAACUCAAAGGAAUUGACGGGG